Molecule: transfer RNA, 85 nt
Filed under: Felis catus (domestic cat)
Lineage: Eukaryota; Metazoa; Chordata; Mammalia; Carnivora; Felidae
Also listed under: 1 other name
Rfam family: tRNA
About the family: Transfer RNA (tRNA) molecules are approximately 80 nucleotides in length. Their secondary structure includes four short double-helical elements and three loops (D, anti-codon, and T loops). Further hydrogen bonds mediate the characteristic L-shaped molecular structure. tRNAs have two regions of fundamental functional importance: the anti-codon, which is responsible for specific mRNA codon recognition, and the 3' end, to which the tRNAs corresponding amino acid is attached (by aminoacyl-tRNA synthetases). tRNAs cope with the degeneracy of the genetic code in two manners: having more than one tRNA (with a specific anti-codon) for a particular amino acid; and 'wobble' base-pairing, i.e. permitting non-standard base-pairing at the 3rd anti-codon position.
Source: Rfam by way of RNAcentral
ACCUGAGUGGCUCAGUUGGUUGAGCAUCUGACUUUGGCUCAGGUCAUGAUCUCGCAGUUCGUGAGUUCAGGCCCCACAUCAGGCU